This 253-nucleotide ribosomal RNA is filed under the name uncultured bacterium. RNAcentral's name for it is "partial 16S ribosomal RNA". It matches the Rfam family "Bacterial small subunit ribosomal RNA", at positions 524 to 776 of the family's 1533-position model. The record is from RNAcentral.
UACGUAGGUGGCGAGCGUUGUCCGGAUUUACUGGGCGUAAAGAGCGCGCAGGCGGUCGUUCAAGUCGCGUGUGAAAGCCCCCGGCUCAACUGGGGAGGGUCACGCGAUACUGAUCGACUCGAAGGCAGGAGAGGGAAGCGGAAUUCCCGGUGUAGUGGUGAAAUGCGUAGAUAUCGGGAGGAACACCAGUGGCGAAGGCGACUUCCUGGUCUGUUCUUGACGCUGAGGCGCGAAAGCUAGGGGAGCAAACGGG